Molecule: ribosomal RNA, 492 nt
Filed under: uncultured bacterium
Lineage: Bacteria
Description: partial 16S ribosomal RNA
Rfam family: Bacterial small subunit ribosomal RNA
Source: RNAcentral
AGUGAACGCUGGCGGUAGGCCUAACACAUGCAAGUCGAACGGCAGCACAGUAAGAGCUUGCUCUUACGAGUGGCGAGUGGCGGACGGGUGAGGAAUACAUCGGAAUCUACUUUUUCGUGGGGGAUAACGUAGGGAAACUUACGCUAAUACCGCAUACGACCUACGGGUGAAAUCAGGGGAUCUUCGGACCUUGCGCGAUUGAAUGAGCCGAUGUCGGAUUAGCUAGUUGGCGGGGUAAAGGCCCACCAAGGCGACGAUCCGUAGCUGGUCUGAGAGGAUGAUCAGCCACACUGGAACUGAGACACGGUCCAGACUCCUACGGGAGGCAGCAGUGGGGAAUAUUGGACAAUGGGCGCAAGCCUGAUCCAGCCAUACCGCGUGGGUGAAGAAGGCCUUCGGGUUGUAAAGCCAUUUUGUUGGGAAAGAAAAGCAGCAGGUUAAUACCCCGCUGUGCUGACGGUACCCAAAGAAUAAGCACCGGCUAACUUCGUG